UGGGGAAUAUUGCACAAUGGGCGCAAGCCUGAUGCAGCCAUGCCGCGUGUGUGAAGAAGGCCUUCGGGUUGUAAAGCACUUUCAGCGAGGAGGAAGGGUAGUGUGUUAAUAGCACAUUGCAUUGACGUUACUCGCAGAAGAAGCACCGGCUAACUCCGUGCCAGCAGCCGCGGUAAUACGGAGGGUGCAAGUGUUAAUCGGAAUUACUGGGCGUAAAGCGCACGCAGGCGGUUUGUUAAGUCAGAUGUGAAAUCCCCGCGCUUAACGUGGGAACUGCAUUUGAAACUGGCAAGCUAGAGUCUUGUAGAGGGGGGUAGAAUUCCAGGUGUAGCGGUGAAAUGCGUAGAGAUCUGGAGGAAUACCGGUGGCGAAGGCGGCCCCCUGGACAAAGACUGACACUGAGGUGCGAAAGCGUGGGGAGCAAACA
Molecule: ribosomal RNA, 427 nt
Filed under: uncultured bacterium
Lineage: Bacteria
Description: partial 16S ribosomal RNA
Rfam family: Bacterial small subunit ribosomal RNA
Source: RNAcentral